RNAcentral lists this ribosomal RNA (433 nucleotides) under uncultured bacterium. Its description in RNAcentral is "partial 16S ribosomal RNA". It matches the Rfam family "Bacterial small subunit ribosomal RNA", at positions 29 to 507 of the family's 1533-position model. The record is from RNAcentral.
AACGAACGCUGGCGGCAUGCCUAACACAUGCAAGUCGAACGAGACCUUCGGGUCUAGUGGCGCACGGGUGCGUAACGCGUGGGAACCUGCCCUUAGGUUCGGAAUACCUCCCCGAAAGGGGUGCUAAUACCGGAUAAUGUCUUCGGACCAAAGAUUUAUCGCCUUUGGAUGGGCCCGCGUUGGAUUAGCUAGUUGGUAGGGUAAAAGCCUACCAAGGCGACGAUCCAUAGCUGGUCUGAGAGGAUGAUCAGCCACACUGGGACUGAGACACGGCCCAGACUCCUACGGGAGGCAGCAGUGGGGAAUAUUGGACAAUGGGCGAAAGCCUGAUCCAGCAAUGCCGCGUGAGUGAUGAAGGCCUUAGGGUUGUAAAGCUCUUUUACCCGGGAUGAUAAUGACAGUACCGGGAGAAUAAGCCCCGGCUAACUCCGUG